This 672-nucleotide ribosomal RNA is filed under the name Hydrodictyon reticulatum. It matches the Rfam family "Bacterial large subunit ribosomal RNA", at positions 2214 to 2905 of the family's 2925-position model. The record is from RNAcentral. Lineage: Eukaryota; Viridiplantae; Chlorophyta; Chlorophyceae; Sphaeropleales; Hydrodictyaceae.
UUUUAUAAGUAAAAAUUUAUAGUCUAUUUAUAUAGAUUUGUAUUGUUGCUUGGGAGUUUGCUUGGGGCGAGAUCCUCCAAAAAAGUAUCGGGGGAGUGCCAUGGUUCGUUUAUACUUUUAUAAGGUAUAAUAAAUUAUAACCAAUUAAGCGAGCCUGACUGUAAGGUAUACAAACCGAGCAGACACGUAAGUGUGUGGUAGUGAACCUGUAAAAAUAUGUGGAAAGUUUACAGAUCAACGGAUUAAAGGUACGCCAGGGAUAACAGGCUGAUUUUCUUCAAGAGUUCAUAUCAACGAGAAAGCUUGGCACCUCGAUGUCGACUUUCCGCGUCCUCUUGCUGCAGAAGGUAAGAAGGGUUAGACUGUUCGUCUAUUAAAGCGGAACGUGAGUUGGGUUUAUUCCGUCGUGAGACAGGAAGGUUCUUAUGUGCAUUAGGUAUUUUUUAGACAUACAUAUACACCCUUUAGUACGAAAGGACCUGGGGGUGCACACCUCUGAUCUACCAGUUGUUUAACAGAAAGCACCGCUGGGCAGUUAAGUGUGUAGGUAGAAUAGCUGACAGCAUCUGAAGCUAGAAAAUCAUAUGUAAAAAGUCUAUCUUUUUCGUUAUAGACUAUAACGUGAAUCGGUGCUUUGUAUAUAUAUGUAAAUAUUGGCAAGAGCAUACGAAA